CAGUAGCCGCGGUAAUACGGAGGGUGCAAGCGUUAUCCGGAUUUAUUGGGUUUAAAGGGUCCGUAGGCGGACUUAUAAGUCAGUGGUGAAAGCCUGUCGCUUAACGAUAGAACUGCCAUUGAUACUGUAAGUCUUGAGUAUAUUUGAGGUAGCUGGAAUAAGUAGUGUAGCGGUGAAAUGCAUAGAUAUUACUUAGAACACCAAUUGCGAAGGCAGGUUACCAAGAUAUAACUGACGCUGAGGGACGAAAGCGUGGGUAGCGAACAGGAUUAGAUACCCGUGUAGUCCCUGUCUCUUAUAC
RNAcentral lists this ribosomal RNA (301 nucleotides) under uncultured bacterium. Its description in RNAcentral is "partial 16S ribosomal RNA". It matches the Rfam family "Bacterial small subunit ribosomal RNA", at positions 509 to 807 of the family's 1533-position model. The record is from RNAcentral.